This 400-nucleotide ribosomal RNA is filed under the name phytoplankton environmental sample. RNAcentral describes it as "partial small subunit ribosomal RNA". It matches the Rfam family "Eukaryotic small subunit ribosomal RNA", at positions 587 to 993 of the family's 1831-position model. The record is from RNAcentral.
AGCUCCAAUAGCGUAUAUUAAAGUUGCUGCGGUUAAAAAGCUCGUAGUUGGAUCUCAGUUACGGGCGAGCGGUCCACCAUAUGGUGGCACUGCUCGAUCCGAACAUUCUGCCGGCUCCUCCGGCAUGCUCUUCACCGAGUGUGCCGGGAGACCGGAACGUUUACUUUGAAAAAAUUAGAGUGCUCAAAGCAGGCGCACGCCUGAAUACUGGUGCAUGGAAUAAUGGAAUAGGGCCUCGGUUCUAUUUUGUUGGUUUUCGGAACUUGAGGUAAUGAUUAAUAGGGACAGACGGGGGCAUUCGUAUUGCGACGUUAGAGGUGAAAUUCUUAGAUCGUCGCAAGACGAACUACUGCGAAAGCAUUUGCCAAGAAUGUUUUCAUUAAUCAAGAACGAAAGUAGG